AAGAGCGUAUGCAUAUCCGCUCCUAUGAUGGAACGAGUUAUCGGCCUUAACGAAGCCGUUAUUUGUGUAUGAACCUAAGAGUUGGGAUGGUGAAAUUUUGCUCGAUAGCAAUCGGAUUCGGGAUCAUUAAAGUCGAAGUCAUCCACACUAUCAACGCCUCUAUUUUGGUAUAAAUUUUGGUUGAACUUUGAAAUGGCAUGUAUAGGACUACCCCUUGUUGGUUUAAAAAUGUGGUGAUGUAUAUGUGUACGGCCAUGCGAAAACGGCUCGUAAAAGUGAAGAAUGAACUUAGACUAUUUGCGGUUUGUAUAUAUAUAUAUGGUGUCAUGAUGUGACUAUGAAUUGGAAA
Long non-coding RNA from Gossypium arboreum, 349 nucleotides. RefSeq lists it as uncharacterized. The record is from RefSeq and is a predicted model, not a curated record. Lineage: Eukaryota; Viridiplantae; Streptophyta; Magnoliopsida; Malvales; Malvaceae. The transcript has 2 exons.